UAGGUAGACGAGGACUGUAAAUGCAUACCGACUGGAAUUACAAGUUGUUGAUAGAAACAAGGCUGACAAGCGGUAUAAAUUAUGUCCGCUAAGAAACACCCUGCGUAUCUAGGAUCAAAGAAAUGUUACAUCGUUAGGAUAUCGAGCAGCCGACUAGCCGUGCAAUUACUCGAGCUGUGUUAUCGUAUCCCGAAUCGAAGUUGGAAGCUAUCGGUUUUUAAUCUAAAGGAAAACUUGGACUGAGAAAUUAAGGUCGAUUCUAUGCAUACUAACGUAUAGACUUAGAAGCAACGACAUAAAUCUCAGAAUCAGGGAUUUAAUUCUAAUUGAUUUACAGAUUGAUUUCCCCUGUUUAUACGUAGCUAAGGAGAGAUAUUCUAGAAACGGGAAGGUGCCCGUUUCGGUGUUGCAUGUUUGCCAGGAAUAAUGAGCACGGUCUCUGUUCACGCAUACACGCAGCUUGGACGAAACGAGCCUCGAGCCUCAAGAGUCUUAAGAACGAAGCGAAUAACAUAGCUGAGUGAGUCUAAAACACCCACCAUUCUUUCUUACGCCGUUUCUUUCGAUUUAUGAGAGCCUAUUUGCGGUUUUCUUUAUUGCACUGCGUGGGGUAGGCUUGUUAACUUGUUCAUCUUGUUAGCUGC
RNAcentral lists this unclassified non-coding RNA (644 nucleotides) under Bombus terrestris (buff-tailed bumblebee). Its description in RNAcentral is "misc RNA ENSBTSG00005039100.1". Lineage: Eukaryota; Metazoa; Arthropoda; Insecta; Hymenoptera; Apidae. The record is from RNAcentral.